This 468-nucleotide ribosomal RNA is filed under the name uncultured bacterium. Its description in RNAcentral is "partial 16S ribosomal RNA". It matches the Rfam family "Bacterial small subunit ribosomal RNA", at positions 28 to 507 of the family's 1533-position model. The record is from RNAcentral.
GACGAACGCUGGCGGCGUGCUUAACACAUGCAAGUCGAACGGAAAGGCCCUGCUUUUGUGGGGUGCUCGAGUGGCGAACGGGUGAGUAACACGUGAGUAACCUGCCCUUGACUUUGGGAUAACUUCAGGAAACUGGGGCUAAUACCGGAUAGGAGCUCCUGCUGCAUGGUGGGGGUUGGAAAGUUUCGGCGGUUGGGGAUGGACUCGCGGCUUAUCAGCUUGUUGGUGGGGUAGUGGCUUACCAAGGCUUUGACGGGUAGCCGGCCUGAGAGGGUGACCGGCCACAUAGGGACUGAGGUACGGCCCAGACUCCUACGGGGGGCAGCAGUGGGGAAUAUUGCACAAUGGGCGGAAGCCUGAUGCAGCAACGCCGCGUGCGGGAUGACGGCCUUCGGGUUGUAAACCGCUUUCGCCUGUGACGAAGCGUGAGUGACGGUAAUGGGUAAAGAAGCACCGGCUAACUACGUG